GAGGCCCGGAGCCGUUCACAGUUUGAGGCGCCAGAUGCUGCUCCCUGGUGGCCGGAGGGCGUAACUGCCGCGGCUAAAGGGCGUCCCGGUGUACACACGGCGGGCCCGGUCCCGCCACACAUGCCGUGCUUUUUGAACACCCGCCGUGGGCUAAGCAUGGGACCCACGUGGGGUGAGGACACAUGGCGAUAAAGAGAGCCAGGCCCUUGCUGCCAAGGAGCUUUCCCGUAACACCGAUGCUUCAAACAAAAGGUAGUAAAAGUGCCUGGGUUUUUGCGUUGAAAUAUCUUUCCCUUCAACUGCUCACCAAGGUGCUUUUACUCCCUGUCACCACCGCUGCCUGCCAGAGGCAGUGACCUUGGGUCCAGCUGGCGCCUGUCAACCUACACAACCACACAGUGAGAGGCUGCCUAAAGAAAGGCGUUUAUUCAGGAGCAGAGCAUUGCAACGGUAAUACGCAUGUCAUAGUAAAAUGUGCAUAUUCGAGGAGGCAGAGGAAGAAAGGAAGAGGAAGGUUUUCAAAGAAAAAGAUGAUUUGCCUUGUGUAGCUCUUUAUGUUCUGAGAUGAGCAGAUGACAGAUUGGGAUGCUGGAGAUUUUGAAUGUGCACACCGCUGGGAAGACCACGCCAAUUGGCUUACACGCCGAAUUCAAGGAGGAUUUUGUAAAACUUUCCUGCUAAUUUGAAAGAGCUGCACCACAGAACACAGUAUAUGGUUCAAAGUACACAGUACGUAUUGGUGUGCCUGAUUGAGACUCAGGUGUACAAAGCCAUGAGCGAAGUUCAGAACUCCAGUGCUUCUCUGAGAUGAUGCCUCAGUGGAGCCUCUGGCCCUUCAGGAAAAGAAGUUGCUGCUCUCAGGAGCUCUUUCCAGUAGGCUCCCCCAGUCAGCUAGAGCAGUGGCCAUAAUCAAGGGGCACUCGUUCUGGUUCUGACUCAGACCAUACAGGCAGCAGUGAGGAUGCCAGAGUCCAUGGGUUUCUAGAACACAAGUUUUCAACUGCAGAUACAAACAUCAGGACGUCAAUGUAUCUGAUAGGAGACACCCGGACAGUGUUGAGAACACAGAACCUGGAGGCUAAACCCCCAGCUUUCUAUGCCAGCUGAGAGUCUGUGGGCACAUUACUCAGCGUCUCUGAACCUCAUGCUCCUCCCCUGUGACAUGUAGAUUGCUAAACCCAUCUCACAGGGCUGUCUUCUGCAUUUAAAGAAUAAAAUAACACAUGAGGGGUC
This is a long non-coding RNA of Pan troglodytes (chimpanzee), 1233 nucleotides long. RefSeq lists it as uncharacterized. Lineage: Eukaryota; Metazoa; Chordata; Mammalia; Primates; Hominidae. The transcript is spliced from 5 exons. The record is from RefSeq and is a predicted model, not a curated record.